AUUGAACGCUGGCGGCAUGCUUUACACAUGCAAGUCGAACGGUAACAGGUUAAGCUGACGAGUGGCGAACGGGUGAGUAAUGCAUCGGAACGUGCCCGGUCGUGGGGGAUAACGCAGCGAAAGCUGCGCUAAUACCGCAUACGAUCUGAGGAUGAAAGCGGGGGACCGUAAGGCCUCGCGCGAUCGGAGCGGCCGAUGUCAGAUUAGGUAGUUGGUGGGGUAAAGGCUCACCAAGCCAACGAUCUGUAGCUGGUCUGAGAGGACGACCAGCCACACUGGGAGUGAGGCACGGCACAGACUCCUACGCGAUGCAGCAGUGGGGAAUUUUGGACAAUGGGCGAAAGCCUGAUCCAGCAAUGCCGCGUGGAGGAAGAAGGCCUUAGGGUUGUAAACUGCUUUUGUACGGAGCGAAAAGGUCUCCUCUAAUACAGGGGGCUCAUGACGGUACCGUAAGACUAAGCACCGGCUAACUACGUGCCAGCCGCCGCCGUAA
This 493-nucleotide ribosomal RNA is filed under the name uncultured bacterium. RNAcentral's name for it is "partial 16S ribosomal RNA". It matches the Rfam family "Bacterial small subunit ribosomal RNA", at positions 30 to 523 of the family's 1533-position model. The record is from RNAcentral.